Molecule: long non-coding RNA, 568 nt
Organism: Mangifera indica (mango)
Lineage: Eukaryota; Viridiplantae; Streptophyta; Magnoliopsida; Sapindales; Anacardiaceae
Exons: 3
Source: RefSeq, a predicted model, not a curated record
GGAAAAGGCAACUUUUUUUUUAUUUAGUGAUGUUUAAAAUAGCCAGGCUUUCGAGAGGGCCAUUGAAUGGCCGUGCUUCCAAGAUUUCAGCUGGUUGACAACUGCAUCAAUUUCAGCUAAUACAUCUAGAACGCUUGUACUCCCGUAUGUACAGUGGACUUGAUUAUUGAAGGUUAAUCCUCCAUCUUUAAGUUCAAGCCAAACAAGCUGGCUGGGCUCAUAUCUAAGAACCCGUGAGCUUCAGGAUGGCCGUGUUGGUUGACCUUGGAGGUUGAGUUGAGGGAGCUUUGCUUGUGUUUGGAGCUUCAUCAAGCUGCCCACCACCAUUGCCAGCAAGGUGCAGACAGGAAGAAUCAAUGCAGUUAGCAGGCAGCGUUUCUCACGGCUGGUCAAUCUCUAACCACUCUCAUUAACACCACACACACGUCACCACCACUUGCAUAUUCCUUCUCAUCCUGGAAAAGAGGACUCUUCUUUGGACUCUUUUAGCUCAAACAACCAUGCUUUGUUUUUCGUUUUAUCAUCAUCUACCAAUUAGUUUAAUAAUUAAUACAAAAUUCUCUUAUUA